AGCCUGACGCAGCGAUGCCGCGUGCGGGAAGAAGGCCUUCGGGUUGUAAACCGCUGUCAGGGGGAACGAAUAAUGACGGUACCCCCAAAGGAAGCCUCGGCUAACUACGUGCCAGCAGCCGCGGUAAAACGUAGGAGGCGAGCGUUAUCCGGAAUUACUGGGCGUAAAGCGUUCGUAGGCGGCUUGGUAAGUCGGUGGUGAAAUCCCCGGGCUCAACCCGGGAACUGCCUUCGAUACUACCAGGCUAGAGCACAUCAGAGGGUGAUGGAAUUCCCGGUGUAGCGGUAAAAUGCUUAGAUAUCGGGAGGAACACCAGUGGCGAAGGCGAUCACCUGGGGUGUGGCUGACGCUGAGGAACGAGAGCCAGGGGAGCGAACGGGAUUAGAUACCCCGGUAGUCCUGGCUGUAAACGAUGGGCACUAAGUGUGGGGAGAUUCGACCCUCUCCGCGCUGCAGCUAACGCAUUAAGUGCCCCGCCUGGGGAGUACGACCGCAAGGUUAAAACUCAAAGAAAUUGACGG
This 521-nucleotide ribosomal RNA is filed under the name uncultured marine bacterium. RNAcentral describes it as "bacterial SSU rRNA". It matches the Rfam family "Bacterial small subunit ribosomal RNA", at positions 380 to 916 of the family's 1533-position model. The record is from RNAcentral.